Molecule: ribosomal RNA, 253 nt
Filed under: uncultured bacterium
Lineage: Bacteria
Description: partial 16S ribosomal RNA
Rfam family: Bacterial small subunit ribosomal RNA
Source: RNAcentral
UACGUAGGGUGCAAGCGUUGUUCGGAAUUACUGGGCGUAAAGCGCGUGUAGGCGGCUAGGUAAGUCCGAUGUGAAAUCCCAAGGCUCAACCUUGGAAUUGCAUUGGAAACUGCCUGGCUAGAGUCUGGAAGAGGAGGGUGGAAUUCCUGGUGUAGCGGUGAAAUGCGUAGAUAUCAGGAAGAACACCCGUGGCGAAGGCGGCCCUCUGGGAGAGUACUGACGCUGAGACGCGAAAGCGUGGGGAGCAAACAGG